GGCCUCCUUUCUCCUUCCUGUCCUGUCUGUCGGGUUUGGCAGAUCUGGGCGCCCACCCCAGCGCGGCCCGAGCCUGGACAGACGAAUCCUUCUUUGUGACAAGGGCCCUCCUCCCUGGUGAAACCACCUGUCUUCCGGAUAUAUCGAUCUGGUCGUAGAGAAAUACUCGAGAGCACGGGAAAACCGUCACUCGGUAUCGUUGAGGAAGAAAGCAAGCUACAAAACCACGUGCGAUAGGAUCCUGUCUGAGAGGACAAAACCAACACGGCCCACACAUACCCAGGGGGUUCCAAACGACCGGAAGUAUACACAUCAAACUAUAGUUUGGAGUUACUGGAUUAUAGGAAAGGAUCACAGCCACCAGAGGGAAGAGAGUCAGUGGCCGGAUCCUGGCGUGACCUUGCUCCUAUGUGACCCAUGACAGUCACCCUGGAGGCCAGACACCUGGAAGUAAGAGGGAAGAGAGCCUGGCGGUGGAGCAUAUGGCGGUCCAUGUCUCGGCGGAGAGCAGGAGAGAGGGAGGUGGAGAAGGAGUCUGGAGGGGAAAUGGAGAAAACCAGCAGGUAGCUUGCCCACGGCCCCGGUGAGUGGUGAGUCCCCAUCCCUAAAAGUCUCUCCACAGCCCACGCUAGUGCAGAUUUCCCCAGGCUUCCCCUUAGGGCAGAGGCAGCCUCCGUGGAGGAUGACCCCUUAGAGAGGAGGGCUGGCAGGGGAGGGGCAGAGCCUGGGGACCUGAGCCUCCCACACGGUUAGGGUCUCCAGCCUCGAAAGGGCAGAUCUGAGCAACAGACAUGGCCUGCGGCGAUGUUUUAAUAUUUAGAGCCUGACUCAUCAAAUCCAGGUGGUAAUCACUUAGAUCCUUGGGCCACCAAGCAAGGAUCUAUGAAAGAGCACUUUGCUCUUAAUUAAGGCAUGACAAAACACUGAAGCAUUUUCCCUUUCCGCGAAUACAAUGCUUGGGCUGGUCUGACCACAUUCACCAGCACAGCAUUGCUUUUGUUCAGAUGCCAUGCCUUCUCCAGCUCGCACUCUGUUGUUCUUUUAGAUAUUGGGCAAUUCUGCAUAGAUGCUGAAUUAUAUCGAAAUGAUGACUGAGUACGCUAUUUUUAUUUUCGACAUGUUGUUUCUUUAAUUUACCCGUGGCGUUGAUUAGGACAGACUUAAAGGGGAUAAUGAUGCAUAAAAUGGACCAUAAAUUGAGUGCUAGGAGUUAGGAGCUGUGGCUUAGAGGAAAAUUUAUCUGUGAGUUUCAUUGAAUUGUGAAUUGAAGACUAGGCUAGGAGAGGAUUCAGUGAUAGGAAACUUCUGGAGGAAAUGGAGAACUCAAGGGUAACAUGUUCUCAGCUUGGAGUGUGUACUUUCUCGAGACCGUGUGGUGACUAGCAGAACUGUGGAGUGAAAGAGAACCCUAAGUACUUUAAAGCGGUAGGGUCUAAUGUAGCCUCCAUUAGCGUGACUAGAACUUUCUAAAUCCCUGUGCAUUUUCCCCACUCUCUUUAUGGUCCUCAAGCUAGUCACCCACUUUGUGGGGCUUGAUUCCUAGUGUGAACACAGCCCUGUGUGCCUGGUCUCACUCGUGACCAUGACAGGCUGUCCCUCACAUAAAUGGAGACCCACUUACUGCACGUUUACAUAGUCUACAGUUUUGUGUCAAGCUAACAAACUAUUCAAAUAUGCUCUGAGAAAUUGGGGUACCUGGGUGGCUCAGUCAUUUGAGCAUCCAAGUCUUGAUUUCGACUCAGGUCAUGAUCCGUGGGUUGUGGGCUCGAGCCUUGUGUCAGGCUCCAUGAUGACAGAGUAGAGCCUGCUUAAGAGUCUCUCUCUGCCCCUCUCCCCUGCCUGUGCACAUUCUCUCUCUUUCUCUAAAAUAAAAUUUAAAAACUAUGUUCUGAGAACGUACUUCAUUUGCCUAAUUGAUCAUUUUUACUUUAUUUUUAAUUUUAACUGCUUUAUUGAGAUAUAAUUUACAUAGCAUGACAUUCACCUCUAUCAAGAGUUUUAGCAUACUUAGGGAUGUACAUUUACUACCACAAUCUGAAUUGAGAACAUUUCCAUCACCCCUAAAGAGAAACCUACUGCCCAUUAGCAAUCACUCCCCAUUUCUACCCCAGCCCUAGGGAACCACUAAUCUACUUUUUUUCUCUACAAAGUUAUCUUUUUUGGAGAUUUCAUGCAAAUAAAAACAUACAGCCUGUGGUAUUUUGUGUCUGGCUUGCUUCACUGAGAAUUGUGGUUUUGAGGUUCUCCCACUUUUUAGCAUGUAUUAGUACAUCAUUCCUUUUUAUUGCCAAAUCCAUUCCAUUGUAUGGCUAUAUGACAUUUUGUUUUCCGUUUAGCUGUUCUUGGACACUUGGGUUGUUUCCACUCUUUGGCUAUUAUGAAUAAUGCUGGUAUGACCGUUGUGUACAAGUGUUUGUGUAGAUAUAUGUUUUCAUUUCAUUUCUUUCGGGUAGAUAGUGAGAAGUGGAAUUGCUAGUCACACGUAAGUCUGUAUUUCAUCUUUUGAAACACUGCUAAACUGUUUUCCAAAGUGGCUACACCAUUCCAUUCGACAUUCCCCCCAGCACUAUGUCAGGGCUCUAAUUCAUCCACAUCCUGGACAACACUUGUUCCUCCCUGUCUUUUUCAUCAUAACCACCAAGUAGGUAAGAGAUGGUAUCUCACUGUGGUUUUGUCAUGUUGACAGUGUGCAUUUUCCUAAUGACAAAUCACGUUGAGCAUCUUUACUUUCUUAAUAAAUUGUUUUAAUGUUUAUUUAUUUU
This is a long non-coding RNA of Felis catus (domestic cat), 2762 nucleotides long. RefSeq lists it as uncharacterized. The transcript has 3 exons. The record is from RefSeq and is a predicted model, not a curated record. Lineage: Eukaryota; Metazoa; Chordata; Mammalia; Carnivora; Felidae.